GGCCCCGUAGCUCAGCUGCAUAGAGCAAGGCUUUCCUAAAGCCGGGUCGCAGGUUGGAGUCCUGCCGGGGUCGCCA
Molecule: transfer RNA, 76 nt
Filed under: Brevundimonas sp.
Lineage: Bacteria; Pseudomonadati; Pseudomonadota; Alphaproteobacteria; Caulobacterales; Caulobacteraceae
Description: tRNA-Arg
Rfam family: tRNA
About the family: Transfer RNA (tRNA) molecules are approximately 80 nucleotides in length. Their secondary structure includes four short double-helical elements and three loops (D, anti-codon, and T loops).
Source: RNAcentral